Molecule: ribosomal RNA, 227 nt
Filed under: uncultured bacterium
Lineage: Bacteria
Description: partial 16S ribosomal RNA
Rfam family: Bacterial small subunit ribosomal RNA
Source: RNAcentral
UGAGUAACACGUAUCCAACCUGCCGUCUACUCUUGGACAGCCUUCUGAAAGGAAGAUUAAUACAAGAUGGCAUCAUGAGUCCGCAUAUUCACAUGAUUAAAGGUAUUCCGGUAGACGAUGGGGAUGCGUUCCAUUAGAUAGUAGGCGGGGUAACGGCCCACCUAGUCUUCGAUGGAUAGGGGUUCUGAGAGGAAGGUCCCCCACAUUGGAACUGAGACACGGUCCAA